This 50-nucleotide transfer RNA is filed under the name Oxyloma wujiaquensis. RNAcentral's name for it is "tRNA-Leu". Lineage: Eukaryota; Metazoa; Mollusca; Gastropoda; Stylommatophora; Succineidae. The record is from RNAcentral.
AAUGGCAGAUAAAUGCAAAGGUUUUAAGCACCUUAUAUGACUUAGGUCUU